Beauveria bassiana ARSEF 2860 is the source of this 278-nucleotide small RNA. It matches the Rfam family "A. fumigatus sRNA Afu_309". The record is from Rfam. Lineage: Eukaryota; Fungi; Ascomycota; Sordariomycetes; Hypocreales; Cordycipitaceae.
UCCUUUUCUACUUCACCGGAUCUGUGCCAGUCGUCCUCUGCCUUGUUGCGGAGUUGACGUCUGUGCAGCUCGAUACCUCAUGGAGCCAUCAACUUGUUAUGAUGUCAAUUUCCUAUCGACAGGUCCCAGAGCAAUCGGGGGUGUGGUUGCACUGCUCGUCGUCCUCUGUGGCGGCUGAUGUGGUGAUCACAGCCAUGCUUCCAAAGCGCUAUAUUUCAAACCUUUUUUCCUAGGUCGUUGACCUAUGCGGUUGAGGAAAACCAUGGCGUCUUACAUAU